GAUGAACGCUGGCGGCGCGCCUAACACAUGCAAGUCGAACGAUUAAAGCACCUUCGGGUGUGUAUAAAGUGGCGAACGGCUGAGUAACACGUGGGCAACCUGCCCCUUUCAUUGGGAUAGCCACGGGAAACCGUGGAUAAUACCGAAUACUUCGAGACUUCCGCAUGGAAGACUCGAGAAAGCUCCGGCGGAGGGGGAUGGGCCCGCGGCCUGUUAGCUUGUUGGUGGGGUAACGGCCUACCAAGGCAAUGAUGGGUAGCUGGGUUGAGAGACCGACCAGCCAGAUUGGGACUGAGAAACGGCCCAGACUCCUACGGGAGGCAGCAGUGGGGAAUCUUGCAAAAUGGGCGAAAGCCGGAUGCAGCGACGCCGCGUGCGGGAUGAAGGCCUGUGGGUUGUAAACCGCUUUAAGCAGGGACGAGGCGAAAGUGACGGUACCUGCAGAAGAAGCCCCGGCUAACUACGUG
This 467-nucleotide ribosomal RNA is filed under the name uncultured bacterium. RNAcentral's name for it is "partial 16S ribosomal RNA". It matches the Rfam family "Bacterial small subunit ribosomal RNA", at positions 28 to 507 of the family's 1533-position model. The record is from RNAcentral.